GUCUCACAUAAUUUUGUUUUCUUAGUUAUAUCAUUUCAUAUCAUAAUUAAUGGCUAAGUUCAUUGCAACUCUCUUGCUAGUGAUGUUUUAUCUCUCUCUUGCCUUAGCAGCGGGAGAAGAUGCCAAAUCAAAGCUAUGUCAAACGAGUGAGAAACUCACUUGUACAGUGGGGUCGGGAGGAGAAUGUGCAGACUAUUGCAAAGUGCUUAUGAUUAGCCGCAGAUUAACACUCUUUAGAUCAAACUGUGUUGUAUCUAUUCCAGAAAAUGUUACCUAUUGCAUUUGUUACUAUCCUUGUUAAUCUAGAUGUUCUUUUAAUAAAUUGAUUAUAAUAACAACUUUUCAUUUUAAAGUA
This is a long non-coding RNA of Salvia hispanica, 355 nucleotides long. RefSeq lists it as uncharacterized. Lineage: Eukaryota; Viridiplantae; Streptophyta; Magnoliopsida; Lamiales; Lamiaceae. The record is from RefSeq and is a predicted model, not a curated record.